AAAACUUUCAACAACGGAUCUCUUGGUUCUCGCAACGAUGAAGAACGCAGCGAAAUGCGAUAUGUAUUGUGAAUUGCAGAUUUUCGUGAAUCAUCGAAUCUUUGAACGCACAUUGC
RNAcentral lists this ribosomal RNA (116 nucleotides) under Hansenula sydowiorum. RNAcentral's name for it is "Wickerhamomyces sydowiorum 5.8S ribosomal RNA". It matches the Rfam family "5.8S ribosomal RNA", at positions 1 to 114 of the family's 154-position model. Rfam says of the family: 5.8S ribosomal RNA (5.8S rRNA) is a component of the large subunit of the eukaryotic ribosome. It is transcribed by RNA polymerase I as part of the 45S precursor that also contains 18S and 28S rRNA. The record is from RNAcentral. Lineage: Eukaryota; Fungi; Ascomycota; Saccharomycetes; Phaffomycetales; Wickerhamomycetaceae. RNAcentral also lists the same sequence under 3 other names.